Danio rerio (zebrafish) is the source of this 74-nucleotide non-coding RNA. Lineage: Eukaryota; Metazoa; Chordata; Actinopteri; Cypriniformes; Danionidae. The record is from Rfam.
GGCACUGUGGCUUAGUUGGUCAAAGCGUCUGUCUAGUAAACAGGAGAUCCUGGGUUUGAAUCCCAGCAGUGCCU